AACGAACGCUGGCGGCAUGCCUAAACACAUGCAAGUCGAACGAACCUUCGGGGUGAGUGGCGCACGGGUGCGUAACACGUGGGAACCUGCCCUUAGGUUCGGAAUAACAGCGAGAAAUUGCUGCUAAUACCGGAUAAUGUCUUCGGACCAAAGAUUUAUCGCCUUUGGAUGGGCCCGCGUAGGAUUAGCUAGUUGGUGAGGUAAAGGCUCACCAAGGCGACGAUCCUUAGCUGGUCUUAGAGGAUGAUCAGCCACACUGGGACUGAGACACGGCCCAGACUCCUACGGGAGGCAGCAGUGGGGAAUAUUGGACAAUGGGCGAAAGCCUGAUCCAGCAGUGCCGCGUGAGUGAUGAAGGCCUUAGGGUUGUAAAGCUCUUUUACUGGGGAUGAUAAUGACAGUACCCAGAGAAUAAGCCCCGGCUAACUCCGUG
RNAcentral lists this ribosomal RNA (433 nucleotides) under uncultured bacterium. RNAcentral's name for it is "bacterial SSU rRNA". It matches the Rfam family "Bacterial small subunit ribosomal RNA", at positions 29 to 507 of the family's 1533-position model. The record is from RNAcentral.